GAGGCUGGGGGAACAGCAAGGAGACCAGAGGGACCCUGAGAAGCCCAAGGACUGAUGGGAAAAGCAAAUAGCCUGGCAUAGUUUUGUUUUAUUCUUAGAAUCAUAUUUCUUCAGAGAAGUGGAAUGACAAUGCCUUUCAUGCCAAUAUAACUUUUUCUUUCUUUUUUUUCCUUUUAGAGAUAGGGUCUGGCUAUGUUGCCCAGGCUGGCCUCAAACUCCUGAGCUCAAGCAAUACUCCUGCCUCAGCCUCCCAAGUAGCUGGGACAACAGGCCAGCACCACUGUACCUGGCUUUGAUGUAACUUUGUAACUCUGCAAAACUCCUUCCCACAUGUCUUUCCUUGGGUCCUCCCCACACCUUAUGCUGCAGGCAAGACUAGAAUUAUUCAUGUAUCCACAGUUGUGGAAACUGAGGCACAAAGAAAUUAAGCCACUUGCUUGAGAUCACAGUGAAGGAAGAAUUUGGAAGCAAAUUGAAGAUGUAAAACCUGGGCCUCCUGACUUCUAGAUACCACCAUGCGGCAAUUUGGAUCUGAAAGAAAGCACACAGCUUACGCCCGGACAGAGCAGCCGGUGUCUAGCUGUGCCCACUUGCCCCACCCAGCCCCCACCUGUGUGCCACCUGGCAGUCAUAUGCACAUUCAUUACAGGGGAGCUGGCUGACUCACACAUUAUACUGGGGCUGACUCAUGCUUUGCAAGAGGGAGAGUGAGAAUCAGUUGGCCACAGGAGCCCCCGCUUUCCACAUCGAGGCUUGAGAUUCAUGCCUCAAAUCCACGGCAGUUUAGUUCUUUAAAAAGGGAAAGCACUGUGAGCUGGCUGGAGCUGGGGAUCUCUGGACUCAGAGAAGAGUGGUUUGGUUCAACUCUGGGCUCUGUUACAAGUUGACUGGGUGACUUCAGGCAAGUCAUUGUCCCUCAGUCUCUUCGGCUUUGUAACAAAGGGGUUGCAACAGAUAAGUGCCAAGACUUUUCAAGCAUCUGAAAGACUGUUCUUGCUCUGGUUUGAGAAACCUCGUCAUAAUAAUGUUGUAUGUGUUGCUAAUUCACUAUGUGCCAGGUAAGUGAUUGGUAUGGGGUUAUUAAUAUCUCAUUUAAUUCUCAUAAUGAAUUCUAGAUUUACUAUUUUUUGUCCUAUUUCUCAAAGGAGGAAACUGAAGCACAGUUUCAGAGUGAUUUUCCCAAGGUGGAGCAGGUCAGCAAGUGGCCGAGCUAAGAAUUAAACCUGGUUUGUCCCCAGACUUUGCAUAAAAUCUAGUCUAAGGCCGGGCAUGGUGACUCAUGCCUUUAAUCCCAGCACUUUGGGAGGCUGCGGCGGGUGGAUCACGAGGUCAGGAGUUGGAGACCAGCCUGGCCAACAUGGUGAAACCCGUGUCUACUAAAAAUACAAAAAUUAGCUGGGCGUGGUGGCAGGUGCCUGUAAUCCCAGCUACUCAGGAGACUAAGUCAGGAGAAUUGCUUGAACCCGGGAGGCAAAGGUUGCAGUGAGCUGAGAUCGUGCCACUGCACUCCAGCCUGGGUGACAGAGCAAGACUCCAUCCCAAAAAAAAAAAAAAAAA
This is a long non-coding RNA of Macaca fascicularis (crab-eating macaque), 1557 nucleotides long. NCBI's taxonomy places the organism in Eukaryota, Metazoa, Chordata, Mammalia, Primates, Cercopithecidae. The record is from Ensembl.